Molecule: ribosomal RNA, 253 nt
Filed under: uncultured bacterium
Lineage: Bacteria
Description: partial 16S ribosomal RNA
Rfam family: Bacterial small subunit ribosomal RNA
Source: RNAcentral
UACGUAGGGGGCAAGCGUUGUCCGGAAUUAUUGGGCGUAAAGCGCGCGCAGGCGGUCCUUUAAGUCUGAUGUGAAAGCCCACGGCUCAACCGUGGAGGGUCAUUGGAAACUGGGGGACUUGAGUACAGAAGAGAAGAGUGGAAUUCCACGUGUAGCGGUGAAAUGCGUAGAGAUGUGGAGGAACACCAGUGGCGAAGGCGACUCUCUGGUCUGUAACUGACGCUGAGGCGCGAAAGCGUGGGGAGCAAACAGG